Molecule: unclassified non-coding RNA, 210 nt
Filed under: Hevea brasiliensis (rubber tree)
Lineage: Eukaryota; Viridiplantae; Streptophyta; Magnoliopsida; Malpighiales; Euphorbiaceae
Source: RNAcentral
UCGCAACUUUGGAGGUCCACCAGGCCUUUGUGAGAGGCGCUGGAUGAGGCAAGGCCAUUGAAAACCAUAGAGAAUGCCAAAAUCAAUAAUGUGGAGCCUAGUUGCUUUCUGUGCUAGUUUGAAAAUUGUCUGAUUAGCAAAGAAAUUUGACAUUCGCUUGAAUGGGCAUGCCUUAACAUACACCUGGUAAGCUUUUAAGAUAUCAGAAAC